RNAcentral lists this long non-coding RNA (338 nucleotides) under Gossypium barbadense (sea-island cotton). RNAcentral's name for it is "long non-coding RNA (GBAR_LNC023175)". Lineage: Eukaryota; Viridiplantae; Streptophyta; Magnoliopsida; Malvales; Malvaceae. The record is from RNAcentral.
UUCGUUCUUUCUUUCUUUCUUUGUUUCUGUCAGUUGUUCAACAAUGGCUACAACUGAGGUUUCCCCAAUGGAUCAAAAUCCCACACCUCCUAAACAGCCAUCAUUUCAACAACACUGCCCUCCUGAUUUUCCAAGAAAGGUAUAAGCAACAAAACAGGCUGUACGCAACAUGUUUUAAAUAAAACAUUGUUUUGUGAUGAACAAAAACAUUAUCUGCAACAUGUAGGUGUUUGCAGAGACGAUAGCAACCUACUUGCUGGUUUUUGUGACAUGUGGAUCAGCUGCCAUUAGUUCGGUCGAUGAACAUAAAAUCUCAAGGUUAGGAGCUUCAGUUGCAG